UUGAUUGUAGAUAAGAUCGUGGAUGC
Molecule: small RNA, 26 nt
Filed under: Bombyx mori (domestic silkworm)
Lineage: Eukaryota; Metazoa; Arthropoda; Insecta; Lepidoptera; Bombycidae
Description: ovarian small RNA-37773
Source: RNAcentral